RNAcentral lists this ribosomal RNA (253 nucleotides) under uncultured bacterium. RNAcentral's name for it is "partial 16S ribosomal RNA". It matches the Rfam family "Bacterial small subunit ribosomal RNA", at positions 524 to 776 of the family's 1533-position model. The record is from RNAcentral.
UACGUAGGGUGCGAGCGUUGUCCGGAAUUACUGGGCGUAAAGAGCUCGUAGGUGGUUUGUCGCGUUGUCCGUGAAAACUCACAGCUCAACUGUGGGCGUGCGGGCGAUACGGGCAGACUGGAGUACUGCAGGGGAGACUGGAAUUCCUGGUGUAGCGGUGGAAUGCGCAGAUAUCAGGAGGAACACCGGUGGCGAAGGCGGUUCUCUGGGACGGUACUGACGCUGAGACGCGAAAGCGUGGGGAGCGAACAGG